GCUAAUUCUUAUCUCAUAAGGUCCAUUGUCUUUUAAUUUAAUUUUCUUUCUAAAAAAAAUUAGAUCCAAUUGGAAAGGCCUCACACCCUAUAAGGCAAGUAGAGGGGGCGCCCAAACCUUAUUAGGCAAGAUGAGGGGGCACCCUCAUCCUAUAAGGCAAGAAGAGGGGGCUCUAACCUUUCACACCCCUUACAAUUUUUGUGCGCACA
Molecule: long non-coding RNA, 209 nt
Filed under: Elaeis guineensis (African oil palm)
Lineage: Eukaryota; Viridiplantae; Streptophyta; Magnoliopsida; Arecales; Arecaceae
Description: long non-coding RNA (EGUI_LNC057496)
Source: RNAcentral